RNAcentral lists this ribosomal RNA (396 nucleotides) under uncultured bacterium. Its description in RNAcentral is "bacterial SSU rRNA". It matches the Rfam family "Bacterial small subunit ribosomal RNA", at positions 64 to 507 of the family's 1533-position model. The record is from RNAcentral.
GAGCGCCCCGCAAGGGGAGCGGCAUACGGGUAUCGUAACACGUGGGAACGUACCCUUCGGUUCGGAACAACCCAGGGAAACUUGGGCUAAUACCGGAUACGUCCGUAAGGAGAAAGAUUCAUCGCCGAGGGAUCGGCCCGCGUCUGAUUAGCUUGUUGGUGAGGUAACGGCUCACCAAGGCGACGAUCAGUAGCUGGUCUGAGAGGAUGAUCAGCCUCACUGGGACUGAGACACGGCCCAGACUCCUACGGGAGGCAGCAGUGGGGAAUAUUGGACAAUGGGCGCAAGCCUGAUCCAGCCAUGCCGCGUGGGUGAUGAAGGCCCUAGGGUUGUAAAGCCCUUUCGGCGGGGAAGAUAAUGACGGUACCCGCAGAAGAAGCCCCGGCUAACUUCGUG